This 396-nucleotide ribosomal RNA is filed under the name uncultured bacterium. RNAcentral describes it as "bacterial SSU rRNA". It matches the Rfam family "Bacterial small subunit ribosomal RNA", at positions 30 to 427 of the family's 1533-position model. The record is from RNAcentral.
AUUAAACGCUGGCGGCAUGCCUUACACAUGCAAGUCGAACGGUAGCGCGGGGCAACCUGGCGACGAGUGGCGAACGGGUGAGUAAAGCAUCGGAACGUGCCCUGGAAUGGGGGAUAACGUAGCGAAAGUUACGCUAAUACCGCAUAUUCUGUGAGCAGGAAAGCAGGGGAUCGCAAGACCUUGCGUUCUGGGAGCGGCCGAUGUCGGAUUAGCUAGUUGGUGGGGUAAAAGCCUACCAAGGCGACGAUCCGUAGCGGGUCUGAGAGGAUGAUCCGCCACACUGGGACUGAGACACGGCCCAGACUCCUACGGGAGGCAGCAGUGGGGAAUUUUUGGACAAUGGGCGGAAGCCUGAUCCAGCCAUGCCGCGUGAGUGAAGAAGGCCUUCGGGUUGUU